This is a non-coding RNA of Myodes glareolus (Bank vole), 684 nucleotides long. NCBI's taxonomy places the organism in Eukaryota, Metazoa, Chordata, Mammalia, Rodentia, Cricetidae. The record is from RefSeq and is a predicted model, not a curated record.
CAAAGAGUAAAAAGAGAAAAACAACAGAAAAUUAUUUUUGUUGAUAAUUUGUACCUGUAAUUUUGCUACUGUUAUGAAUAGUAAUGUAAAUAUUCAUGUUUUCUGACGAUUUUAGAUGACCCAUUCAUGUCAUUUAAUCCUCAAAGGAGUCGUGGCCCACAGGUUGAGAACCACUGUCCUGGAGUGUGGCCAAAUAGGAGAUUAUUGAGAACAGAAUGAAUUCAUGCUUGCUCCUGCUCUGAAGACUCCAGCAUUAUGGGCUGGAAUAAGGAUUCCUGGUCUGGAAUGUACAGGGAUUAAUGAAUACAUCCUCCAGCAGAGAUGCUUGGCCAUUUUGCCCAUGGUAAAUGAGCUCAUGCUCCGUGCCCCAUGGGUUCUGCUGUGCCCUAAAGGAACAGCCCAGGCUAAGUAUGGAACAGAAAAUAACUCCAGCCUUGAAAUGAGAGGCAGACCAGUAAGUCGUGCUCAGUGCUCAAAUCACAAACACAAAUUAAUGGUCUGUCUCCUUGCAAUGCAAAGGAGAUGCCAUGAGUUUGAGUCACAGAGAAAUGGACAGCAGCACCUUUCCGUAUCCUCCUGGAUGUUUAAGGAGCCUCUCGCUUCUUAUUCUUUUCAAACACAAAGUCAUCUGUUUGGAGAAAAAUAAAAUGGCUCUAAAGUUAAAGAGUCCCCAGAGAAAACCAG